This 494-nucleotide ribosomal RNA is filed under the name uncultured bacterium. RNAcentral's name for it is "partial 16S ribosomal RNA". It matches the Rfam family "Bacterial small subunit ribosomal RNA", at positions 30 to 523 of the family's 1533-position model. The record is from RNAcentral.
AUUGAACGCUGGCGGAAUGCUUUACACAUGCAAGUCGAACGGUAGAGUAGCAAUACUUGAGAGUGGCGAACGGGUGAGUAAUAUAUCGGAACGUGCCCAGUCGUGGGGGAUAACGUAGUGAAAAUUACGCUAAUACCGCAUACGAUCUAUGGAUGAAAGCGGGGGACCUUCGGGCCUCGCGCGAUUGGAGCGGCCGAUAUCAGAUUAGGUAGUUGGUGGGGUAAAGGCUCACCAAGCCGACGAUCUGUAGCUGGUCUGCGAGGACCACCAGCCACACUGGACUUACGACACGGUGCAGGCUCCGACGGGAAGCAGCAGUGGGGAAUUUUGGACAAUGGGCGAAAGCCUGAUCCAGCCAUUCCGCGUGCAGGAUGAAGGCCUUCGGGUUGUAAACUGCUUUUGUACAGAACGAAAAGGUUUUUUCUAAUAAAGAGAGCCCAUGACGGCACUGUAAGAAUAAGCACCGGCUAACUACGUGCCAGCCGCCGCCGUAA